This 1506-nucleotide long non-coding RNA is filed under the name Homo sapiens (human). RNAcentral's name for it is "HSALNT0386067". The record is from RNAcentral. Lineage: Eukaryota; Metazoa; Chordata; Mammalia; Primates; Hominidae.
GUUUGGGUGGUCUAGGGUAUACUAGGGUUCUAAAGCUCUGUGACAUCAUCAUGAGUCUCAGAAAUGGCCAGAAUGUUCCUUGCUGCAGAUGCAUUGGCCCCAUCUGCAGGUCCUCUUUGACACCUACCUUACUCUCUCCCUCCACUCACACUCUGAGAACUGUGCUCAGGGGCAGCGCUACAACUUCCACAUUGGUCUUUACAGGGCUUGAGUGAUUAUUUCAAGAACAGAACGCUGUGUGGAAACCUUUACCAUAUUUCGUUGUAUCUAAGACACAUUUUUUUUUUUUGAAAUUUAACAUCUCUAAGGUUGGGUUAUGUUUCUUCAUCAUUGUCAGGUUGGAGCUUAAUCAGCAGCACUUUUUUUUAAUGUCACACACAGUAAUGGUGAUGCAUCUCACAAUUGAGAUCAUCUUAGACAUGAUGGAAUAUGGAAUCGUGUGCCUGUUACAAGCCAGGCUCUUGUCUGGGUUCUAGAGACGGUGGAAACCAAGACAGCACCAUCCUCUAGUGGUGUUCACAUCCCACCACAGUGGAGUCAGGACUUUGAAGUCCUCCAUUGGAUCUUCUCGGAAGAUGAGGGAAAUGAGAGAGUGUGGAGAGAGAUUUUGUAAGUCCGGUCUGGAAGUGGUCAUUGUUCAGAAUCCAGCCACGUGGGUACAUGGAACUGUAAGAAUAUGUUCUGUGGACACUACAGAUGCAGAUUAAAUCACCUGCAAAGUGAAUCUGUCAGCCCUAACAAUAAGAAUAGCUCUUUUAUGAUGAGCAGGUGAGACCAGGUAAUUACCGAAGAAAGAGAGUGAUGUGUUCAUUGAAGUCUACUCAUGGAGGAAAGAAGGCUAUUUCAACAUGGGAAACUGAAAUCGGGCAUAUCCCUGCGGAAGAAGGUAUGUGAGACACCAACCAGAGUUCGUAAUUCUAAUGACCUCUCCAGAUUUAUGGCUGCAGCAUUCCCAAGAAGGGGUAGGGAGGGGCAUAUAAUGAGCUACCCUCAGGGGAUCAGAAAGAAAAGGGAAGCUGUCUCUUAGCGAAGAAUAAAACUGUGGACUGACCCCCACCCAUUUGCGAAGAAAGUACUGGGUCUUCAGCUUUCAUUGUUCAGCCGGUGGUCUUUGUGGACAACACCAGGGGCCCCUCCUGCUGAAGACUGUCUGGACUUCCUGAUUUUCACUCCUGUAUAAACCCCCUCCCCCAUUACUACCUUUGUCUCCUUGGGGAAAAAAAAUGUUUUUCACUUAAGCAAAAUAAUAACUACCCAGUAUUUGUUUCUGGAGUGAAAUUGUAAACUUCAUUGUACAUUCUUCCUGGCUUUGAUGCUUAUCGUGAAGAGUUCAGUGAAAAUAAAUUGUUUUUAUGAAAGCAGAGAAACCAUUUGAUAAACACGCUGUCUCUGAAAAUCGUUCCUGCAAAAGAGGUCAUUCUUUCACUUUAAAAGAAAUAGAAUAUAUUUCAGAAAACAGGCAGGACAACAUACAAAUUUUUUUUUAAGGCAGAGUGUAAAUACAGU